RNAcentral lists this ribosomal RNA (253 nucleotides) under uncultured bacterium. RNAcentral describes it as "partial 16S ribosomal RNA". It matches the Rfam family "Bacterial small subunit ribosomal RNA", at positions 524 to 776 of the family's 1533-position model. The record is from RNAcentral.
GACGUAGGGCGCGAGCGUUGUCCGGAUUUAUUGGGCGUAAAGAGCUCGUAGGCGGUCUGUCACGUCGGCUGUGAAAACCCGAGGCUCAACCUCGGGCCUGCAUUCGAUACGGGCAGACUAGAGUUCGGUAGGGGAGACUGGAAUUCCUGGUGUAGCGGUGAAAUGCGCAGAUAUCAGGAGGAACACCGGUGGCGAAGGCGGGUCUCUGGGCCGAUACUGACGCUGAGGAGCGAAAGCGUGGGGAGCGAACAGG